GUGCAGCCACAGAGGCUGGUGUGAUGUGAUAAUGUGCUGGUUGUGUGAACAUCGUCUUCUAACAAAGACACUAAUAUUUACAUAGAGGAUGUGACUAUAGGAUAAUCGUCGUUGCCAAAUGUGUGGAGAGUUGUGCGAGAAAACACAGGAUUAGAAUAGCCUAAAAGCGAUUAAUUAAUCGGAAAAGAUGGCACAGCUUAGAAAAGAAGUUAGUUUAGAUUCUCAAGAAAGAAACAUUAUGUUUUUAUGACUAAGAUAGAGGAAAAUGAGACUGCUCAUUGUAUAAAUCAUGGUUCCAAUACAGAUAGAGAGGUCAACCCCUUGUCAAUAUAAAUCCUAGUCUAGAAAUAAACAGACAAGACCAAUACUUCAGUUACAUCUUGUAGGACACUUUUUUCUAUGCGAAAAUCUAACAGUAUUACUAGUGAUCGAUAAAAAAAAUUCAAAAAUUACAAUGAAUCUUCGAUACUUUUCUUGUCUUGUCAACUAUAAUAAGGAAAGUAAGUGACGUACUGAUAUAAACCGAAAUAUU
This is a long non-coding RNA of Centruroides sculpturatus (bark scorpion), 532 nucleotides long. RefSeq lists it as uncharacterized. The transcript is spliced from 3 exons. Lineage: Eukaryota; Metazoa; Arthropoda; Arachnida; Scorpiones; Buthidae. The record is from RefSeq and is a predicted model, not a curated record.